AGAGUUUGAUUCUGGCUCAGGAUGAACGCUAGCGACAGGCUUAACACAUGCAAGUCGAGGGGCAGCGGGGAGUAGCAAUACUUCGCCGGCGACCGGCGCACGGGUGAGUAACACGUGUGCAACCAACCCCGUACCGGGAGAUAACCCGCGGAAACGUGGACUAACAUCCCAUAACACUGUAUCAUCGCAUGGUGAUGCAUUUAAAAUUCCGGUGGUACGGGACGGGCACGCGCGACAUUAGGUAGUUGGCGGGGUAACGGCCCACCAAGCCGACGAUGUCUAGGGGUUCUGAGAGGAAGGUCCCCCACACUGGAACUGAGACACGGUCCAG
Molecule: ribosomal RNA, 331 nt
Filed under: uncultured bacterium
Lineage: Bacteria
Description: bacterial SSU rRNA
Rfam family: Bacterial small subunit ribosomal RNA
Source: RNAcentral